AUAAUAUUAUGAAUAACACUUUUUUUUUCAUUGAUAAUAUUAUGCCUACUCCUAACCAUUAAUGUGUUAAGAAAGAAAAUAUCUCCCUACACUCAAAUGUCCACCGUCUUCUACCUUAGCUUCACAAGAUCUCUAAAGGCUAAAGCUCAUGCCUUUUACCCGUCGGCUCACCCAAGAAACAAGAGAAAACUUCUUGCCCCAUUUCUCUCUCUCUCUCUCUGCCCUAUACUUUCACCAUCUCCCUACCGACGGUCGCAAGCCCCGACGAAGAGGACAACCACUGCUGUCUACCAAGAACUAAGAAGUGAGCUACUCCGUUUACAUGUAUGGCAAAGCAAGUAAAAAAUGGAAGAAGAAAUCAUACCACACAACGCAGAGAACAAAGCAAAUAAAAAACAAGCUACUAAGGUCCGCUUAAGACGCAGAUAACAAAACCUUCAGGAAUUGAAAGAUUGUAGCUUUUUACUGUUCUUCGUUCCUCUCAUGUAUUUGGCCAAAUUUAUUUGUAACAAUUAACUAUUGUAUGCAAAUUGUUACAAAUAAAUGAUUUGAAUAAACAGUUAGAAAUAUUGAGUCCAGAACAAUGAACAUUAAAAAAAAAAAUACCUCUUAACGUUGAGAGCUGAGAUGUAGGACCUAGAAAACAGAAGCAAAGAAAGGAUUUGGUAAAUGAAGAAGGUGAAGUCAGUAUUAUACCAAGCGGUGUUAGAUUUAUCUUCUAGAAUAAAAUUUGAAUUUAUCAUUUUGACAUCUGUAAGUGACUAAGUACUAGGCGGUCGGCGAGGAUUUGAGGGAUGAAAGAGGUUUUAAAAAUCCACGUAAGGGUAAAAUGGGAUAUAAAUGUUGUAACAUAAAUUACUAUUCAUUUGAAGA
Molecule: long non-coding RNA, 873 nt
Organism: Carya illinoinensis
Lineage: Eukaryota; Viridiplantae; Streptophyta; Magnoliopsida; Fagales; Juglandaceae
Exons: 2
Source: RefSeq, a predicted model, not a curated record